GAUGAACGCUGGCGGUGUGCCUAAUACAUGCAAGUCGAGCGAACGGACGAGAAGCUUGCUUCUCUGCUGUUAGCGGCGGACGGGCGAGUAACACGUGGAUAACCUACUUAUAAGACUGGGAUAACUUCGGGAAACCGCAGCUAAUACCGGAUAAUACUUUGAACCGCAUGGUUCAAAAGUGAAAGACGGCCUUGCUGUCACUUAUAGAUGGUUCCGCGCUGCAUUAGCUAGUUGGUAAGGUAACGGUUUACCAAGGCAACGAUGCAUAGCCGACCUGAGAGGGUGAUCGGCCACACUGGAACUGAGACACGGUCCAGACUCCUACGGGAGGCAGCAGUAGGGAAUCUUCCGCAAUGGGCGAAAGCCUGACGGAGCAACGCCGCGUGAGUGAUGAAGGUCUUCGGGUCGUAAAACUCUGUUAUUGGGAAAGAACAGAUGUGUAAGUAACUGUGCACGUCUUGACGGUACCUAAUGAGAAAGCCACGGCUAACUUCGUG
This 497-nucleotide ribosomal RNA is filed under the name uncultured bacterium. Its description in RNAcentral is "partial 16S ribosomal RNA". It matches the Rfam family "Bacterial small subunit ribosomal RNA", at positions 28 to 507 of the family's 1533-position model. The record is from RNAcentral.